Molecule: ribosomal RNA, 404 nt
Filed under: uncultured bacterium
Lineage: Bacteria
Description: bacterial SSU rRNA
Rfam family: Bacterial small subunit ribosomal RNA
Source: RNAcentral
GAAUUCGAUAAAUCGCGAAGAACCUUACCAGGUCUUGACAUCUUCUGCUAACUAAGAGUUUAGGCGUUCCCUUCGGGGACGGAAUGACAGGUGGUGCAUGGUUGUCGUCAGCUCGUGUCGUGAGAUGUUGGGUUAAGUCCCACAACGAGCGCAACCCUUAUUGUCAGUUGCCAGCAUUUAGUUGGGCACUCUGGCGAGACUGCCGGUGACAAACCGGAGGAAGGUGGGGAUGACGUCAAAUCAUCAUGCCCCUUAUGACCUGGGCUACACACGUGCUACAAUGGACGGUACAACGAGUCGCGAAACCGCGAGGUCAAGCUAAUCUCUUAAAGCCGUUCUCAGUUCGGAUUGUAGGCUGCAACUCGCCUACAUGAAGUUGGAAUCGCUAGUAAUCGUGGAUCAGC